Molecule: ribosomal RNA, 492 nt
Filed under: uncultured bacterium
Lineage: Bacteria
Description: partial 16S ribosomal RNA
Rfam family: Bacterial small subunit ribosomal RNA
Source: RNAcentral
AGUGAACGCUGGCGGUAGGCCUAACACAUGCAAGUCGAACGGCAGCACAGUAAGAGCUUGCUCUUACGGGUGGAGAGUGGCGGACGGGUGAGGAAUACAUCGGAAUUUACUUUUUCUUGGGGGAUAACGUAGGGAAACUUACGCUAAUACCUCAUACUACCUACGGGUGAAAGCGGGGUAUCUUCGGACCUUGCGCGGUUGAAUGAGCCGAUGUCGGAUUAGCUAGUUGGCGGGGGAAAGGCCCACCAAGGCGACGCUCCGUAGCUGGUCUGAGAGGAUGAUCAGCCACACUGGAACUGGGACACGGUCCAGACUCCUACGGGAGGGAGAAGUGGGGAAUAUUGGACAAUGGGCGCAAGCCUGAUCCAGCCAUACCGAGUGGGUGAAGAAGGCCUUCGGGUUGUAAAGCCCAUUUGUUGGGAAAGAAAAGCAGCAGGUUCAUAUCCCGCUGUUCUGACGGUACCCAAAGAAUAAGCACCGGCUAACUUCGUG